RNAcentral lists this ribosomal RNA (507 nucleotides) under uncultured bacterium. Its description in RNAcentral is "partial 16S ribosomal RNA". It matches the Rfam family "Bacterial small subunit ribosomal RNA", at positions 28 to 507 of the family's 1533-position model. The record is from RNAcentral.
GACGAACGCUGGCGGCGUGCCUAAUACAUGCGAGUCGAACGCAUUUUCUUUCACUGUAGCUUGCUACACAGUAAGAAAAUGAGUGGCGAACGGGAGAGUACCACGUUGGUAACCUGCCCAUCCGCGGGGGAUAACAAUUGGAAACAGGAGCUAAUCACGUAUAAUUUCAUUUCUCGCAUGGAAGAUGGGUGAAAGGCGUUUUUGCUUCACUGACGGUUGGACCCGCGGUGCAUUAGCUAGUUGGUGAGGUAACGGCCUACCAAGGCGGCGAUGCAUAGCCGACCUGAGAGGGUGAUCGGCCACACUGGGACUGAGACACGGCCCAGACUCCUACGGGAGGCAGCAGUAGGGAAUCUUCGGCAAUGGACGCAAGUCUGACCGAGCAACGCCGCGUGAGUGAAGAAGGUUUUCGGAUCGUAAAACUCUGUUGUUAGAGAAGAACAAGUAUGAGAGUGGAAAGUUCAUCCCUUGACGGUAUCUAACCAGAAAGCCACGGCUAACUACGUG